This 296-nucleotide ribosomal RNA is filed under the name uncultured bacterium. RNAcentral's name for it is "partial 16S ribosomal RNA". It matches the Rfam family "Bacterial small subunit ribosomal RNA", at positions 334 to 628 of the family's 1533-position model. The record is from RNAcentral.
AGUACCUACGGGGGGCAGCAGUGAGGAAUAUUGGUCAAUGGGCGGGAGCCUGAGCCAGCCAAGCCGCGUGAAGGAAGAAGGCGCCAGGCGUCGUAAACUUCUUUUGUCGGGGAACCAAGGGCGCCACGCGUGGCGUUGUGAGUGUACCCGAAGAAAAAGCAUCGGCUAACUCCGUGCCAGCAGCCGCGGUAAUACGGAGGAUGCGAGCGUUAUCCGGAUUUAUUGGGUUUAAAGGGUGCGUAGGCGGUCCUGCAAGUCAGCGGUAAAAGCCCGGGGCUCAACCCCGGCGAGCCGUU